Molecule: long non-coding RNA, 908 nt
Filed under: Gossypium barbadense (sea-island cotton)
Lineage: Eukaryota; Viridiplantae; Streptophyta; Magnoliopsida; Malvales; Malvaceae
Description: long non-coding RNA (GBAR_LNC011890)
Source: RNAcentral
UAACACAACUACUACUCUUAUCUUCUUCUUCUUCUUUUUUUCUUUUUUUUUUCUUUUGCUUUUUACAAAAAUUGGUGAGUAUUCAUUUGAGUAAGUGAUAGAAAAUUCCUGAAGAAAAGGUUAGAUAAUUCAUCUUUGAAUCAGGUAGCUGGCUGGAAUCAGGUACCAGAUUCAAUGUAAAUGCAUUGUCCAUUAUAUAUAUAUAUAUAUAAAUGUCAACUUUACAAGUUCUUUCCCUCUAAUUAUUAUUGACUGUAUUUGCAGUACUAGAUUCAAUGGGGGAUAAUUAAACAGAAAACAAAGGGGUAACGUGCAGCUGCAAUUUCAUAAACAUUAUAUAUAUAUAUAGGUAUUGAGUUGAUUGAUAUGAGAUGGGCCAUUGAUGAUGGAAGCAAGAAAGCAGCAAAUGGAAUUAGUGGAAUGAGAUGAAGUGGGAACAUGUGUGGCUUUCCACAUUAACCACUAAAGCUCUCAUCUUUGGAAUGGUAAAUUUUUGUUUCUCUUUUUAAAUGAAAAAGGGGGAAUGACCAUUAAGAUUCAAUGUGCGGACAAUAGGGUUGAAAUGGAACAGCUUUUUAAAUGGGCAAAAAGGUGUUGAAAGUGGAAGAAGGUGAACACAGAGACAGGGAUAUACUGUUUGUGUCUAUAUGGUGUUCGUCAAAAUGCUGCAAUCAACCCCACAUUUCCAUUUCUACUAUAAAACAAGUAGGGAAGCCCACAUUUUCUACAUUGGAAAAAAAAUCAAUAUCUCCAAGGAAAAAAACAACAAAGAAGUUACAUUUAAAGUUUCUUUUCUUUUUCAUUGUUUGGAUUCUACAUAAAAACUUGUAUAAAUCCAACAACAAAAAAGAGCAUGUAACAUCACUGAAAUGAAAAUUGCAAAAGAAAAAUGGCGAUGGACCUCGAAA